This 613-nucleotide small RNA is filed under the name Arabidopsis thaliana (thale cress). RNAcentral's name for it is "ATSL016410". Lineage: Eukaryota; Viridiplantae; Streptophyta; Magnoliopsida; Brassicales; Brassicaceae. The record is from RNAcentral.
AAAAUAAAAUUAAAAAUGAUUCAAUCGGUGUACAAAAACUUUAAACACCAAGUAAAAAGACACGAAGAUAGUACUAUAAUACUAUGAAUAAUAAAUAAAUGGGUGAAUCUAUAUAUACAUUUUUGCAGCCAUUUUGUGAAAUAAAUCCUGGAGUUGGAACUUAUUUACAAAGGCUGCCACUGACUUUUAAUUAUUAGUUUUUUAGCAAUAAAUUGAUUAACAAACGAAAAACAUUCUAAAUAUAUUCCAAUCCCAUAUAUCACGCAGAUUUUUCCAAAAUUUAAACUAAAUUUCGGCAACUAAUUAAAACAAAAAAUGUUUGACAACCCAAAAGACAAUUGCAAUCCCUUAAAAUGAGCAAAACGCAACUAAAUACAUUUUUUAUCAAUUCACUAAAUCUUAUUUCUUCAAAAUUUGAACUAGAUUUCGACAACUAUUUAAAACAAAAUUUUGUUUGACAAACUAAAACACAAUUGCAAUCCCGUAAAAUAUUUAUUUUAAUUAUAAAUUUAAAUUAGCGGGGUACCGCGAGCUUUUUUUACAGGACGGGUUUGGCGGAACGGGUUUGGAAGGACGUUACUUAAUAACAAUUGUAAACUAUAAAAUAAAAAUA